RNAcentral lists this ribosomal RNA (219 nucleotides) under uncultured bacterium. RNAcentral describes it as "partial 16S ribosomal RNA". It matches the Rfam family "Bacterial small subunit ribosomal RNA", at positions 113 to 334 of the family's 1533-position model. The record is from RNAcentral.
UAGUCUGGGAAACUGCCUGAUGGAGGGGGAUAACUACUGGAAACGGUAGCUAAUACCGCAUAAUGUCGCAAGACCAAAGUGGGGGGACCUUCGGGCCUCAUGCCAUCAGAUGUGCCCAGAUGGGAUUAGCUAGUAGGUGGGGUAAUGGCUCACCUAGGCGACGAUCCCUAGCUGGUCUGAGAGGAUGACCAGCCACACUGGAACUGAGACACGGUCCAG